Molecule: transfer RNA, 90 nt
Filed under: bacterium HR27
Lineage: Bacteria
Description: tRNA-Ser
Rfam family: tRNA
About the family: Transfer RNA (tRNA) molecules are approximately 80 nucleotides in length. Their secondary structure includes four short double-helical elements and three loops (D, anti-codon, and T loops). Further hydrogen bonds mediate the characteristic L-shaped molecular structure. tRNAs have two regions of fundamental functional importance: the anti-codon, which is responsible for specific mRNA codon recognition, and the 3' end, to which the tRNAs corresponding amino acid is attached (by aminoacyl-tRNA synthetases). tRNAs cope with the degeneracy of the genetic code in two manners: having more than one tRNA (with a specific anti-codon) for a particular amino acid; and 'wobble' base-pairing, i.e. permitting non-standard base-pairing at the 3rd anti-codon position.
Source: RNAcentral
GGAAGGGUCGCAUAGUGGCCGAGUGCGCACGGCUGGAAACCGUGUGGGGGCGUAAGCCCCUCGUGGGUUCGAAUCCCACCCCUUCCGCCA